AUGCGUCAUCGUCGGCAACAUGGAGGCGAGUCACCGGCGAGUUGCAUCACCGGCGACGAAGAUGGAGGCGAGUCACUGGCGAGUUGCGUCACCGGCGAUGAACAUGGAGGCGAGUCAUCGGCGAGUUGUGGCACCGGUGGCGAACAUGAGGCAGCGAGCGUGUCGCGGUGGCACACUCGUGGUGAAGGUGUAGUAGGUGCGGUUCUCAUGAAAACUAGCGCGACGGCGGCAAUCGGCGUGACAAGAUGGCAUUGGCGGUCGUCUGCGUGUCGCACCGACGACAUCGACGACCAUAGUCUUCAAGAGAGAAAUAAGUUAACAAGAUUAGAGAGGUGA
Molecule: ribosomal RNA, 336 nt
Filed under: Triticum aestivum (bread wheat)
Lineage: Eukaryota; Viridiplantae; Streptophyta; Magnoliopsida; Poales; Poaceae
Description: partial small subunit ribosomal RNA
Source: RNAcentral